RNAcentral lists this ribosomal RNA (1473 nucleotides) under uncultured bacterium. RNAcentral describes it as "16S ribosomal RNA". It matches the Rfam family "Bacterial small subunit ribosomal RNA". The record is from RNAcentral.
AGAGUUUGAUCCUGGCUCAGGAUGAACGCUAGCGGCAGGCUUAACACAUGCAAGUCGAGGGGGAUAGUAGCAAUACUAGAGACCGGCGCACGGGUGCGUAACGCGUAUGCAAUCUACCUUUCACAGAGGGAUAGCCCAGAGAAAUUUGGAUUAAUACCUCAUAGUAUAAUACCUUGGCAUCAAGGAAUUAUUAAAGUCACAACGGUGAAAGAUGAGCAUGCGUCCCAUUAGCUAGUUGGUAUGGUAACGGCAUACCAAGGCGACGAUGGGUAGGGGUCCUGAGAGGGAGAUCCCCCACACUGGUACUGAGACACGGACCAGACUCCUACGGGAGGCAGCAGUGAGGAAUAUUGGACAAUGGGCGCAAGCCUGAUCCAGCCAUGCCGCGUGCAGGAUGACGGUCCUAUGGAUUGUAAACUGCUUUUAUACAGGAAGAAACACUCCCUCGUGAGGGAGCUUGACGGUAUCGUAAGAAUAAGGAUCGGCUAACUCCGUGCCAGCAGCCGCGGUAAUACGGAGGAUCCAAGCGUUAUCCGGAAUCAUUGGGUUUAAAGGGUCCGUAGGCGGUUUAGUAAGUCAGUGGUGAAAGCCCAUCGCUCAACGGUGGAACGGCCAUUGAUACUGCUAGACUUGAAUUAUUAGGAAGUAACUAGAAUAUGUAGUGUAGCGGUGAAAUGCUUAGAGAUUACAUGGAAUACCAAUUGCGAAGGCAGGUUACUACUAAUGGAUUGACGCUGAUGGACGAAAGCGUGGGUAGCGAACAGGAUUAGAUACCCUGGUAGUCCACGCCGUAAACGAUGGAUACUAGCUGUUGGGGGCAACUUCAGUGGCUAAGCGAAAGUGAUAAGUAUCCCACCUGGGGAGUACGUUCGCAAGAAUGAAACUCAAAGGAAUUGACGGGGGCCCGCACAAGCGGUGGAGCAUGUGGUUUAAUUCGAUGAUACGCGAGGAACCUUACCAAGGCUUAAAUGUAGAUUGACCGGUUUGGAAACAAGACUUUUCGCAAGACAAUUUACAAGGUGCUGCAUGGUUGUCGUCAGCUCGUGCCGUGAGGUGUCAGGUUAAGUCCUAUAACGAGCGCAACCCCUGUUGUUAGUUGCCAGCGAGUCAUGUCGGGAACUCUAACGAGACUGCCAGUGCAAACUGUGGGGAAGGUGGGGAUNNNNNNNNNNNNNNNNNNNNNNNNNNCGUCCGGGGCGACACACGUGUUACAAUGGUAGGUACAGAGGGCAGCUACCCAGCGAUGGGAUGCGAAUCUCUAAAACCUAUCUCAGUUCGGAUCGGAGUCUGCAACUCGACUCCGUGAAGUUGGAUUCGCUAGUAAUCGCGCAUCAGCCAUGGCGCGGUGAAUACGUUCCCGGGCCUUGUACACACCGCCCGUCAAACAAUGGAAGCUGGGGGUACCUGAAGUCUGUAACCGCAAGGAGCGGCCUAGGGUAAAACUAGUAACUGGUGUUAAGUCGUAACAAGGUA